Jatropha curcas is the source of this 469-nucleotide non-coding RNA. The record is from RefSeq and is a predicted model, not a curated record. NCBI's taxonomy places the organism in Eukaryota, Viridiplantae, Streptophyta, Magnoliopsida, Malpighiales, Euphorbiaceae.
UAAUCCACGUGCAUGGCAAGAAAAUGUCAGAAUUCAAAUGCGUCGGCGAGGUACUUCUAUAUAAAUCCACUGCUGCAACCAACAAAUCUAUAAUUUCAUUGAACAUAAUACAUUGGGAAGGAAGAGAGGGAGAUACCAAUACAGGAAAGACAAUGGCUAGAGAAUUAUGUCCAGGUAAGAGCUCAUGGCCGGAACUGUUAGGAACAAACGGGGAAGCGGCAGCUGCUACGAUAGAGAAAGAGAAUACAAAUGUAGAUGCAAUUGUGGUGAAGGAAGGAACUGGAGUGAUUGAGGAUUUUAGGUGCAACAGGGUGUGGGUAUGGGUCAAUGAAUAUGGUGUUGUGACUCAAGUUCCUACAGUCGGUUAAUUCCAUGAUUUUAUUUCAUUUCUGAAUAAAUGAAAUGAUUUGAAUUGUAAUGAAAUAAAAGUUCCCUUCAAUAUUUAUGAAUGCUUAUCUUAAUUAUACUA